Paramormyrops kingsleyae is the source of this 2803-nucleotide non-coding RNA. The record is from RefSeq and is a predicted model, not a curated record. Lineage: Eukaryota; Metazoa; Chordata; Actinopteri; Osteoglossiformes; Mormyridae.
UCCAUACUCUGACUACACGCUGUGUAAAGAAGUGCUUCCUUAAAUCCAGUUUGAAAUGUUCUCCCGCUAAUUUCCACCUAUGGCCACGAGUUUAAUUUAUGGUGGUUUCAGUAAUCCCACUCUGAGGACCUAAAUCAGGGGUGGCCAAUCAUCCACAAAAGGCCGGUGUGUAUGCAGGUUUUUUGGGGUAACCUUUAGGUCAGCUGUUCAAACCCAGGUGUGAGGACUCUUCAGCCAAUCAGUCCUUUAAUUAGUUACCUAAUUAGGAAGUUGCAGCGAAAACCUGCAUACACACUGGCCCUUUGCGGAUAAGAUUGGCCACCCCUGACUUAAAUAAUCUUAAUGACUUAAUCACCAAUAAACUCAGACAUGCAUAGCAUGCCACUUUGUGCCCUUUCUUCCAUGCUGUCCUUGCAUAUAGUUCCUACCAUGGUUUGCUUUGCUGUAUGAGGAUGCUUCAGUCCCUCAGAAUAACAAGUACAGAUGCAUGGUUUUCCUAGUGACAUGGAGAGGAGAAAAAAACAGUUCUCUGAAGUCAACAGGAGAAAUCUCACUGUAACUAAGGAGGGCAAAAAAAAUGCGAGGUAAUCAUAUUCAAAUGCUGCAUUUACAUAUUUUCACAAAGAACACCAUUGGUAAGCUUAAUGUUUGGUUUAUUAAAAAUAAGGAACAGGGAAAAGCUUUCAAAACCUAGAGAGUUGAGAUUACAUGCUCUGAUAUUAUACAGUAUGUUACUAAUAAUUAACUCCCACCACCCUGCAAAAAAUAAAAAUCACAUUUAGAAGUAUUUUUCCUCUAAUUCCACAAUGUUGGAUGAAAUAACAUGAAGAGAAUGGAAUUUACAAUUAAUUGGCUGUUCGUAGUAUGUUAUAUGUUGCUUUAUACCCAGUAUUUUAACCUUAUCUGGUAACGUUCCCUAAAUCCAGUAAUUUAGUGUUUAAUAUCUCAAGUAAUUUAUUGACUAAUGUAUCGACAAUGAAAAACAGAAUCGAACUGGAAUGUCUGUCGUAAAGUUGAAAUAUCGUACCAUGGACCAUCGUAAUUCGGGGAGCAUCUGUCUUUCAGUCUAACUUCCGGAAAAUAUCUCUCUCUACACAGCUCUGGGCUGCACUAGCUUUCCCCCAGAAACCCGCCCCACCCCUGUCAAAAUUGAUUGGUUUACAGCCACCAAUACUUCCACUGCAAUAUUUCCAAUAAAGUGGCCAGUAAGUGUAUGUCACUAAGCAAUGUGAAAUUAAGUUCUUUAGCUUUGGGUGAAAUAGGGAAGUUGAUUAAUAAUGUUAUUUGUCUAUCCAUCAUUUAAUUUCAGGAUGAAAUCAGGUGAUAUGGAGGUUGCGACUGAUGCUGAAUGUUGUCACUUUUAAACAUGCGUAUAAACUGCAGUGCACGGGUGCUUGCUAUUUCUGUCAGUUUAAAUAGUAUUUUUUUACAUUGUGUAUAUUUAGACCUGAGAGCUAUGUGAGAGAUGCCCAACGGUGAUAAAGUGAUCUGCGUCUUUGACUAUGACGGCAGGACACCUUUCACCUUUCAUGUCCUCUGAGGUGUGACAGACCCCCUGAUAGUCGGCCUGCAUUGGCUGAGGCUGGCUGGGGCUGAAUGGGAGAACUUGAUUUUUAUUAUCAUGCUGGUGAUGAAACGUUGCACCAAGCCCGACAAUUAUUCUAACAUUGAUGGUAUGGAGUUCCAUUAUAAAAAUUUUGGCAAUGGGGGAGAACGAACCACUGUUAUCAAGCAGGAUCUGAUCAAUCAUGUAGGCGAGAGGGUGGUUGAUGUAUCUCAGUGCCCAAAAUGCAUAUGUUCAGGAAUGCAAAUACCUUACAUGCUUUGGAUGCAGAUAACACCCCAUUCCUGCAAUUAUUUCCUCACACUGUUUAAGGAGAGUCAGACCCGUAAGGAGAUAAACGGUGGUAAAAACACAAAAAUUACAAUUUAAGGAUCACCUCAACCAGCUGCAUAUACUGUAAAGUUGAUACUUUUACAUUCCAUCAUAAACAUUAUGGCCUCACCUACAGAUUCUUGCUACAAAGUGAUCAUGAUAUCAUCCAGCGAUGAGAGCGGGGAGUCUGAGGCAUCUCAUUCUCCAGCUCCACCUCCAUCACUGGUCUCUGAGCGGGCAGAGGGGCCGCCAAACGAAGGUCUGCAGAUUGCUCCUUGGGGAUGACCAAGAGACCCUGGACAUCCAAGUUCCAGUUAACAGGUUGGAGGGCACCAUGGAAGCUUUUUUCUAUGAUCUACGAGAGUGACGAGAUGGCAUGUAUGAAAUUGCUAAACUGGAAGAGGUGGUGAUUCAACACAAUUCUGUACUUAAACCGAUUGUGGAAGAUUUUCUGGCUCGUUGGGAGGCUGACAACUAAAACCAGCUCGCAAUGGGAAAUGCUAUUAGUAACGCCUUUCGUGAGUUCAUAUCCACUGUUGAUGCAUGCCUUGAUAAAAAAGUCUGCCCUGAAAACAAAUGAAUUUUGGGAUGUUUCGAGGGGUGAUUACACAUGUUGCUGAUUUCAUAGAUUGUUAUUUGACAUCACUGGAGUCGGUGAUUCUUAUCACUGCAGAAAAGCAUUACUUACCCAAGUGUUGGGAAGAGAAGAAACUCUGGAGUCUCACAUGUCCUUGUCUGUCUUAUAUUCCUGUCAAUGUAUUUGAUGGUAGUCACAGAUUUAUAUUUUAUGCCUUAAUUGUACAUGUCAAUGCCCGUAUCACUGAAAAACCCAAUGCAUUGAUCUUAUUGCUUGGAACGUCACUGAACAACUGUCACAGCUGUAAAGAAUAAAAAAAAAAAAAAACUGUACACACUUUUGAAAAACUA